Molecule: long non-coding RNA, 226 nt
Filed under: Nicotiana benthamiana
Lineage: Eukaryota; Viridiplantae; Streptophyta; Magnoliopsida; Solanales; Solanaceae
Description: long non-coding RNA (NBEN_LNC036690)
Source: RNAcentral
UUUUUGUUGUUGUUACUUGUUUGUUGUAUUAUCAAUUUGAAUCAUGUAGAUGAAAAAACAUGCCAGUCAGGACAAAGGAUUUAAAAGCGAGACCAAGUAAAUUGCAAGGCCGGGAGUGGUUUACAUACAAUGAAGAAGAAAGAAGUAACUUUCAGUCCAAAAAGAAUGCAUAACUAACACAUCCAUGAACCUCACUGAUUCUACCGAAUGCGAAUACUUGAAUGGG